UUGGGCCUACGGGACGCAGCAGUAGGGAAUCUUCCACAAUGGGCGAAAGCCUGAUGGAGCAACGCCGCGUGGGUGAAGAAGGUCUUCGGAUCGUAAAACCCUGUUGUUAGAGAAGAAAGUGCGUGAGAGUAACUGUUCACGUUUCGACGGUAUCUAACCAGAAAGCCACGGCUAACUACGUGCCAGCAGCCGCGGUAAUACGUAGGUGGCAAGCGUUAUCCGGUUUUAUUGGGCGUAAAGGGAACGCAGGCGGUCUUUUAAGCCUGAUGUGAAACCCUGCGGCUUAACCGGAGUAGUGCAUUGGA
RNAcentral lists this ribosomal RNA (305 nucleotides) under uncultured bacterium. RNAcentral's name for it is "bacterial SSU rRNA". It matches the Rfam family "Bacterial small subunit ribosomal RNA", at positions 333 to 630 of the family's 1533-position model. The record is from RNAcentral.